AUUGCAGAAUUCAGUGAAUCAUCGAAUCUUUGAACGCACCUUGCGCUCCUUGGUAUUCCGAGGAGCAUGCCUGUUUGAGUGUCAUUAAAUUCUCAAUCCUUUCUGGGUUUAUUCUCAGCUAGGCUUGGAUAUGGGGGUUUUGCUGGCUUUGUACAGACAAAGUCAGCUCUCCUGAAAAACAUUAGCAAGACUGUUGUUGCAACCUUCUAUCUGGUGUGAUAAUUAUCUACAUCAUAGAUUGUAUGCAGUUUAUUAUGUCUGGCUUCUAACAGUCCAUUGAAUUGGACAAAACCUAUGACAAUUUGACCUCAAAUCAGGUAGGACUACCCGCUGAACUUAAGCAUAUCAAUAAGCGGAGGAAAAGAAACUAACAAGGAUUCCCCUAGUAACUGCGAGUGAAGCGGGAAAAGCUCAAAUUUAAAAUCUGGCAGUCUC
This 435-nucleotide ribosomal RNA is filed under the name Melanoleuca subbrevipes. RNAcentral's name for it is "eukaryotic LSU rRNA". The stretch from base 304 to 435 matches the Rfam family "Eukaryotic large subunit ribosomal RNA", at positions 1 to 132 of the family's 3401-position model. The record is from RNAcentral. Lineage: Eukaryota; Fungi; Basidiomycota; Agaricomycetes; Agaricales; Pluteaceae.